Molecule: long non-coding RNA, 5310 nt
Filed under: Podarcis lilfordi (Lilford's wall lizard)
Lineage: Eukaryota; Metazoa; Chordata; Lepidosauria; Squamata; Lacertidae
Source: RNAcentral
UUUAUUUGUAGAAGUUUGUUAUAGCCUUUAAUCAGAGAGAGAAGCUGUUGCCCAGAAACAGUGAGUAGACACACAGGCAUGCCAACCUGCGGGAAAGAUUUUGUUCCAAUGCGCAGAAAAAGGGAAGUCUCAAAAAGCGGGGGAAAUAAAGUGUGCUCCAAAGAAAAACACUGACUUGCAGAUAUAUGAGUCAGAGCUGAGACUGCAUUCCUUUUGUCACAGUCUCUCUUGGGAGUCGUAGAUUCCGGGAUGUGGCUAUUUUUCACAGCUCUGGGAAACUGGGGGACAGAUUACUAAACGGAUGAAUCACGUCCAAGAGAAAUACUUUCGUGUCAUCAGGUUUGAUCCUGGUCAACAGAAUGAGGUAGUGGGUCUGACUGUGCUAGAAAUCCUGAUUUGAACCGGGAAUGAACCAUGUUCGGGGGUUGUGUUUCAAGGAAAAGGCGGAGGAGAUCGUUGGCAGGAUGGAAUGUGGAUGGAAUGACAGUUGGGGGAUGACGGCUGGGGAAUUUUGACAGUUGGAAGAGAGAGAGAGAGAGAUAAGAGGGUGGAGAUUAGAGGGUAAGUUUAACUGGGUGGGAAAAUUUGAGUUGUUCUUGCUACUUCUAAAUGCAUUGAUUGCAGACGUGAAUUUGUUUUCCUUGUUCCUAUGCAAUCUUGCCUAAUGAACACAUUUUGGAAAACCUAAAAGAUCUUCGUUUUCCCUAAUAUAAUGCAAUUUUCUCUGUUACUUUUUUUGCUACUAUGUGCAUGUUCAUGCACACUUUAGCUUAGUAAAUACAUUUCUGGCUGGGGAACUGCCCUGAAAAAUUCAGAGAAGUGCAAACUUCAAAGGAUGGCCGUGAUUGGCUUCACAUCUUGUUCCAGAAAGUGCAAAUUACAUCGGUUCACCUCUAAAUGUGAAUGGAAUCCAAUUUCUCCCCCAACCCGCAGUGCCCAAACAGAUGCCAGUUCCUCUCCCAACUGCAGCAAACUGAGCACCAAUGUCUGAAAGAAAAUCCCAGUUGCCUUCAGCUGAACAUGGUUAGAAUCCUCAGGAUUCCUAAAGGAAUGGAAGGAUUGCAGCCAUGUUCAAGGGAAGGCAGUUCUCUGAAGACACAGGUUGGAAGAAGAGGGGCAGAGUUUGAGCCCUCGUGGGCCCAUUUGAAUGCCCAUGAAGAGCUUGUGACAACUCCGAAUCAAUUGAGACUGGUCUGCAGAGAGAAAUCAAAGAUCACAUGAGAGAUACAGAAAAGAACAUAAGAUGGAAAUUCAUUGGACAGUUUCAUAGGAUCUUAGAGUUGGAGGUAACCCAAGGAUCAUCUAGUCCAACCUGCUGCAAUGCCAGAAUCUCACCUAAAGCAUCCAUGACAGAUGGCCAUCCAACCUCUGCUUAAAAACCUCCAGGGAAGGAGAGCCCACCAACUCUCAUGGGCGUCUGUUCCAUUGCUGAACAGCUUUUACUAUCAGAAAGCUUUUCCGAAUGUUAAGUAGGAAUCUCCUUUCUUCCAACUUGAAGCCAUGGUUCAUGUCCUACCCUCCAGAGCAGGAGAAAACAAGCUUGCUCCCUCUUCCAUGUGACAGCCCUUGAGAUAUUUGAUGAUGGCUAUCGUAUCUCCUCUCAGUCUCCUCUUUUCCAGGUUAAACAUACCCAGCUCCAUCAAGCGCUCCUCAUAAGGCUUAGUUUCCAGACCCUUGAUCAUCUUGCUUGUCCUCCUCUGCACACGUUCCAAAUUGUGGGGCCCAAAAUUGGACACAGUGUUCCAAGUGUGGUCUGACUAAAGCAGAAUAAGUUAAGUAAAGGUAAAGGGACCCCUUACCAUUAGGUCCAGUCGUGACCGACUCUGGGGUUGCGGCACUCAUUUCGCUUUAUUGGCCGAGGGAGCCGGCAUACAGGUCAUGUGGCCAGCAUGACUAAGCUACUUCUGGCAAACCAGAGCAGCGCACGGAAACGCCGUUUACCUUCCUGCCGGAGCAGUACCUAUUUAUCUACUUGCACUUUGACGUGCUUUCAAACUGCUAGGUGGGCAGGAGCAGGGACCAAGCAACGGGAGCUCACCCCGUCGUGGGGAUUCGAACCGCCGACCUUCUGAUCGGCAAGUCCUAGGCUCUGUGGUUUAACCCACAGCGCCACCCACGUCCCACCAGAAUAGGCAGAAUAGAGUGGUACUAUUAUUUCCCUUGAUCUGGAAACUAUACUUCUGUUGCUGCAACCUAGAAUAGCAUUAGCUUUUUUCGCUGCUGUUUGUCUCUGGGUCCACCUCCUUACUUAGUCAUGAAUUCAUUGUACAGUCCUCAUCGAAAUCUAUGCAAGUCUCUGUUCCCUAUCUGCUAAAAUACCUGUUGUGCAGGUGUAAGGUGAAGGGAACACUGAAAAGGAUGCGGGACUUGAAUAUUCAUGUCACCUUAGUCCUUAGAGAUCCUACAUACAAAUGCAUUGUAGUGUUUUAUUCGUUGUCUUAUGUAGGGCCUAGAACAACCUGAUUUGCUUCCAUUGAACUAGUCCCUGGGGCUUAAAAUGGUAUCAUGUUGCUUUUUGCUUUUGCUUCAACUGGAUUUCUUCUGCCUUUGACAUUUCUACUGCACUCCCCCCCGCCACCCCCCCAGCUACAAUUUCUAUUUUUAUCUCAACCUUCAAUAGUUAGGUGCUUUCUUUAAAAGGUUUCGGUUAUGCUGAAAGAACAAACAAAAUCAAACUGCACCCAUGUUGUGCUUUCUUGAGAACUCUUACUGGCUUGCUUAAACUUUGUGGUUGUGAAUCUCUGCAGGCCCAAUGCAAAACUACUUGUCCUUCCCCGCAGAGGGGGAGCUACUAAUUUGGGAACGCCUUCUUCCAAAGUCAGUGGGAUUUGAGACUUCCUCUUCAUGGUAUGCUAACAGCAGUGAGGAACCUUUUCCAGAACAUCAGGAGAAACUUCCUGAUGGUAAGAGCACUAUGACAGUGGAAUAAUAAAUAAUAAUAAUAAUAAUAAUAAUAAUAAUAAUAAUUUAUUUAUACCCCUGCCACUCUGGGUGGCUUCCAGCAAAUGAUUAAAAAGGCAUUAAAACAUCAGACAUUAGAAACUUCCCUAAACAAGGCUGCCUUCAGGUGUCUUCUAAACGUCAGAUAGUUGCUUAUUUCCUUGACAUCUGAUGGGAGGACAUUCCACAGGACAGGCGCCAACACCGAGAAGGCCCUUUGCCUGGUUCCCUGUAACUUUGCUUCUUGUGGUGAGGGAACCAGCAGAAGGCCCUCAGAGGAGGACCUCAGUGUCCAGGCUGAACAAUGGGGGUGGAGACGCUUCUUCAGGUAUACUGGGCCAAGGCCGUUUAGGGCUUUAAACCAGUUUUGAAGAUAGUGGUGGGCUUUCCUUCACUUGAAGUCUUCAGUCAGAGACUAGGCAGUCACAUGUUGGUGAUGUUCUAGCUCUGGAUUACUUGUACUGAGUAGGACUUGGUGUUCUUGAGAAGCUGCCCACUGCCCACACUCCAGGGAUGUUUCCACCAUUUACAGGGAGAGAAAACACAUACACAGUGAGAAUUAAUAGGGCUAAGUGUCUGCGUUUUAACUUGUGCUUUGGGGAGGAGCAAACGUUUCAUCUUGCAAAAGUCCAGGUACCUGCAUGGAUUCCCUAUGAAAUGGGCAGUGUUGAGCAAUGGAUGCAUCUGACCCCAAGCUAGUUAAGACAAGGGAAAUAGGGGGAGCAGGACAAACAUGGGUCUACUCAGGUUGACAUAUCCCUGUGAAAAAUAUUCAACAUACUGACUAGGGCAUGCAGCCUUGGGUAUUGCACAGAUGAAGAGAUGCUGGAGUGAGUUGGUCCAAUCAAAUUACAUGGGGAGGAAUCAGACUGUGCCUUCACCUGCCACUUUGAGAACCAUUAGACUUCAGUGCUUCAUUUUAAAUGCCUCUGAAAGACAAAGUUGUGUUCUGCCUUCAGGGAGCUAAAGGCAGAAAGGGAGCUGGAAAAAAUUAUAUUUACUACCAGUCAAGCUGUAUCUCUUGCUCCAGUUAGCAUAACUAUGCUCAUAAGUGGCCAUUAUUCUAUAAGUGCUCCCUUAAAUUAUCUGUGAGAAACCCAGUUCAACACAUCUUCAGUACUAAUGCAAGACUCCAGCCUGAUGGCUGGUAGAGGAGCUUCUGAGAAGAGCCUAGGAGUGGCAUGAAACACAGAAGCCACCAAGAGACUUUCAUAUCAGCUGGUGCCGUGCCAUCCUGGUCCAGAUACCUACAAGGAAGACAUAAUACUAGUUUGGAAGCUUUCUAUGGCCGGUGGAAUGACCACCCUGUAGCAGUUGUUGGGAGCAGAAAACACAGAUGACUGUUAUCAAAUGCAGAGAUUGCCUUCCAACGUUGCUCACAUGCCAUGAAGUGCAAAAAUGCCCCAAGAGACAAAUGCCAUAAAUGCUUACUAAUGAUUGACAGGUGGGCAAGGCUCACUGGGACAGCCCUGAUGGGACAGAUUGAGAGGUCUUGCAGACUGGAUAAGACUGGAUACGGCUGAAGGUUUCCCUGCGUACCUGAUUUCACUAGCAAAAAAAGGAUGGUGGUCCUGAAUAUCCCACUAUUCAGCUCCAUUGGAUAAUCCCAGUAAACAACAUUAUAUGUGAGGUAGAGAAAAAAUAAGUUUAUGUGCCUCUGUCAUGCCCCUCCUUACUCGCUUUUCCCUCUAAGUUUAAAAACAAAAACCUUCUGUUGCCCAGAAGAAGAAAAUAGUGUCCACACUUGUUUGGUUAUCUAUUAUCUUUCCAAAAGAAUCCCAGGAUGGCUUCUAAAACACAAACCAAACACAAAACAAACAUUUGGAGUCAAAACUAAAACCACACCUUAAUAACAGCAAGCCCAUAAAGGUAGCUUUGCCGUGCAAUUCUAUGUGUGCCUAUGCAGAUAUAAACCCCACUGAGUUACUCCCAGGUAAGCGCGUGGAAGGUUUCACUGUUAAAAUAAUCAUUCUUCAAAGCAGGAGCAAAUAAAACCGCACCAAUCACCUCAAGCUGGAAGUACAAGUAAAGAGGUCUUCACCCUCCAGCGAAACCAAGUGAGCAGUUUGGAGACUUGCAGUGGGAACUUGAAGGGUUUGCUAAAUUGGAUUCCUCCCAUUAAAAGUGUUCAUAACUUGAAGUGGAGUUAUGUAUUUUUCAUCUGAAAAUACUGAACGCUGCCCCCGCUGCAGUGGGGUAGAACAUGGGUGAAGUGUUCCCUAAGCACCCAUGAACCUGUCAUUAAAGGAGUCGUGAGUUUUCCAGUUGGGGGAUUACAUGUUCCUUAAUGUUACAGGAUGUAUCACUUGCAGAGAAUUUCUGCCACCGCAAGCUAAGAAAACAAUAAAAAAAAAAUGUAUUAAAUAGCAG